Molecule: ribosomal RNA, 253 nt
Filed under: uncultured bacterium
Lineage: Bacteria
Description: partial 16S ribosomal RNA
Rfam family: Bacterial small subunit ribosomal RNA
Source: RNAcentral
UACGUAGGGGGCAAGCGUUGUCCGGAUUUAUUGGGCGUAAAGAGCGUGUAGGCGGCUUUACAGGUCCGUUGUGAAAACUCGAGGCUCAACCUCGAGACGCCGGUGGAAACCGUAAAGCUAGAGUCCGGGAGAGGAGAGUGGAAUUCCUGGUGUAGCGGUGAAAUGCGCAGAUAUCAGGAAGAACACCCGUGGCGAAAGCGGCUCUCUGGAACGGUACUGACGCUGAGACGCGAAAGCGUGGGGAGCGAACAGG